Long non-coding RNA from Bos taurus (domestic cattle), 1819 nucleotides. NCBI's taxonomy places the organism in Eukaryota, Metazoa, Chordata, Mammalia, Artiodactyla, Bovidae. The record is from Ensembl.
AGCAGUUUAAAGCAAUGAAUGUUUAUCUCACAGGUUUUGUGGGUUAGGAAUUCAGGAGCAAUUUAGCUGGGUGCUUCUGGCUUGGUGUCUUUCGAAUCAUGCUGUGGGCCAGGGCAGAAGUCAGUGAAACGUGACUGGGGCUGGAGGUUCCUCUUCCAGGCUCAUUCAUGCAGCUGUCGUCCAGAAACUGCCGUGGCACCAUCUCCUUCAGGCUUCGCACAGCAUGGCUUCCCUCACUGUUCUAAUCUCCGAAAUGGCACGCUUUCACUUCGUCUCUCUUCUCUUUGUAAGGAGCCAGUCACUUAAGUCCAGCCCAUGCUCAGGAGGAAGGAAGGCUGGGACUUCAUGUGAUAUGGUACCACUGGGGCUUAAGAAAUGCAAGAGAUAUCUGAAUAAAUAGACGUGUUCCAGUUUGGGCAUGUUAAGCUGCAUUUCCAGCAACCCAUUUGGAUUAAAGAACCUCGAAACGCCCAUGUUGGGAUCUCUAUGUGACAGCAUUGAGAGUGUCAUCUGAAGGCAGCAGGAAGUCUGACAGUCACUAAACUUGUUUUAGAAGCUAGAAAUUCUACCAUUUGUGAAGAUGAAGGCAGUUUGAACCUUUCUGGAUGAAUGCUGCAGUUUGUUUUUGGAACUGAACCUCUGACCUUCCUGAAGGACUGUCUCUUUGGUGAGCCCCUUUCAGUCAUGCAGAUGUAGGGCAAUAAUAACCCCUCAUUUUCCUGGGGGAAGCCCCACAUGCAGCAGAGAGCUCAACGGAAGUGCUGUAGACUGAGGUUGGAAGUGCUUUGUUCUCAGAAGGCAGCCGGCAGUAUGUCUUGUCCCCAAAGAGGCAGAGACCUAUUUUAUUUCAUUUUACCUUGCUCUUAAACCUCUUGAUGUGGCCUGCUCAUGCCUGUUCUUAGAAAACACAGUCUUCUCACUCUAACAUCUGCUCACAGAGGAAGGACAGCUCCAGCCAGAACAGGGGCAGGGACACAGGCAUCAAUGCCUCUCCUUCUGGUGAAGCAAAGUGGGGAAGAGGACUGGGAUCAGGCUUGGACAGGGCGCAUGGGACCCUUGGUGCAUCUCAUGCUGUCCUUUCAUCUAGUAACGUGUGUGCUUAGUCGCAGUCGUGUCCAGCUCUUUCUGACCCCAUGGGCUGUAGCCUGCCAGGCUACUCUGUCCAUGGUAUUCUCCAGGCAAGAGUACUAGAGUGGGUUGCCAUUCCCUUCUCUGGGGGAUCUUUCUGACCCAGGAGUUGAAUCUGGGUCUCCUGCAAUGGGGGCAGAUUCUUUACCAUCUGAGCCACCAGGGAAGCCCAGUAAAAGGCUGCCAAAUAUACCUCUUAUGACUAUCCUGACUUUCUUUUCCAGGGUACACUUAGAGGCUUCCUCCUGAAGAAAUAGUCAACCUGAGGAUUAAGUCUAGAGGAGGAAAGACACUGGUGUUAGGCUGCCAGCGUGUUCUGAUAUUUGACACCUUAAAAGACAACACCCCACGCCACCUCUGGACACAUAAUUAGCCUUUGUUCUGUGGCCUUGUCUUAAGCUACCAUCCCAUCUCUCUUUUUCCUGUGUUUGUUCUUAGCAAGCCUUGAAAUACUCUUCUGGAACUGCUGUCUCCACUUCAUCAUCUAAUUCACUCUUGGACCCACUCCAGUCAGAGCUUCUCUCUUAACCACUCCAUGGAAACUGUCUCUGUAUCCAUAUGUUGAUGUGAUUAGUUAUAUUAAUACAUUCCCUAAUAUGGUGUCAUUCUGGCACUGACAGCAGUUUUCACUCUUUAAACUCAGUGCUGGAUUUGGUUUGCUAACGUUUCAUUUACAACUUUGGUUAGUAUC